This 521-nucleotide ribosomal RNA is filed under the name uncultured bacterium. RNAcentral's name for it is "bacterial SSU rRNA". It matches the Rfam family "Bacterial small subunit ribosomal RNA", at positions 355 to 895 of the family's 1533-position model. The record is from RNAcentral.
UGGGGAAUCUUGGACAAUGGGGGCAACCCUGAUCCAGCCAUGCCGCGUGAGUGAUGAAGGCCUUAGGGUCGUAAAGCUCUUUCGCCUGUGAAGAUAAUGACGGUAGCAGGUAAAGAAACCCCGGCUAACUCCGUGCCAGCAGCCGCGGUAAUACGGAGGGGGUUAGCGUUGUUCGGAAUUACUGGGCGUAAAGCGCACGUAGGCGGACCAGAAAGUUGGGGGUGAAAUCCCGAGGCUCAACCCCGGAACUGCCUCCAAAACUAUUGGUCUAGAGUUCGAGAGAGGUGAGUGGAAUUCCAAGUGUAGAGGUGAAAUUCGUAGAUAUUUGGAGGAACACCAGUGGCGAAGGCGGCUCACUGGCUCGAUACUGACGCUGAGGUGCGAAAGUGUGGGGAGCAAACAGGAUUAGAUACCCUGGUAGUCCACACCGUAAACGAUGAAUGCCAGUCGUCGGGUAGCAUGCUAUUCGGUGACACACCUAACGGAUUAAGCAUUCCGCCUGGGGAGUACGGUCGCAGAUU